RNAcentral lists this ribosomal RNA (215 nucleotides) under uncultured bacterium. RNAcentral describes it as "partial 16S ribosomal RNA". It matches the Rfam family "Bacterial small subunit ribosomal RNA", at positions 524 to 738 of the family's 1533-position model. The record is from RNAcentral.
UACGAAGGGGGCUAGCGUUGUUCGGAAUUACUGGGCGUAAAGCGCGCGUAGGCGGUGAUCUUUGUCAGAGGUGAAAGCCUGGGGCUCAACUCCAGAAUUGGCCUUUGAAACGGGAUCGCUUGAGUCCGAGAGAGGAUGGCGGAAUUCCCGGUGUAGAGGUGAAAUUCGUAGAUAUCAAGCAGAACACCUGCGGCGAAGGCGGCCUCUGGGACGAU